CAUUACUGUAAGAAACAAAGAGUCUUGAGACUGCGUUUAGGCGUGUGCUCGACUCCUAUUCUUUCAUUCACAUACACCUUUUGUGCACCAUGGGAGAGAUACUUCUCCCCACAUAUAUAUACACACCUAGUUAUAUGCAUGUCUUAUGCUCUACGGAGUGAUGAAAUGUAACAACUUUCAACAACGGAUCUCUUGGCUUUCGCAUCGAUGAAGAACGCAGCGAACGUGCGAAACGUAAUGUGAAUUGCAGAAUUCAGUGAAUCAUCGAAUCUUUGAACGCAUCUUGCGCUCCUUGGUAUUCCGAGGAGCAUGCCUGUUUGAGUGUCGUGAAUACUCUCAAUUUCAUUCUUUUUGUUUGAAAUUGGAUUUGGAUGUUGUUGUUGGUGCUUAUAGUAGGGGCUACAUACAACUCGUCCUAAAUGCAUUAGCGAUCUGGCUUGAUCACACACAAUGUGAUACAUCUUAUGUGCAUUGUUACAGUCAAGUCAAGACUGCUUUCCAGGCCACCACACAUGCAUAUAUAUGCAUGUCAUUUGACCUCAAAUCAGGUAGGACUACCCGCUGGACUUAAGCAUAUCA
Molecule: ribosomal RNA, 579 nt
Filed under: Geastrum quadrifidum
Lineage: Eukaryota; Fungi; Basidiomycota; Agaricomycetes; Geastrales; Geastraceae
Description: eukaryotic LSU rRNA
Rfam family: 5.8S ribosomal RNA (bases 173-327)
Source: RNAcentral